GACGAACGCUGGCGGCGUGCUUAACACAUGCAAGUCGAACGGAAAGGCCUGCUUUCCCUUGUGGAUUGCGGGUACUCGAGUGGCGAACGGGUGAGUAACACGUGAGUGAUCUGCCCCCAACUUGGGUAUAAGCCUGGGAAACUGGGUCUAAUUCCCGAUAGGACUGCAGGGUGGUGCCUGUGGUGGAAAACGAUUUUCUAGUGGCUGGGGAUGAGCUCGCGGCCUAUCAGCUUGUUGGUGGGGUAAUGGCCUACCAAGGCGGCGACGGGUAGCCGGCCUGAGAGGGUGGACGGCCACAUUGGGACUGAGAUACGGCCCAGACUCCUACGGGAGGCAGCAGUGGGGAAUAGUGCACAAGGGGCGGAAGCCUGAGGCAGCGACGCCGCGUGGGGGAUGACGGCCUUCGGGUUGUAAACUCCUUUCGACCGCGAGGAAGCCACCUGGUUGGAAGGGUGGUGACGGUAGUGGUAGAAGAAGCACCGGCUAACUACGUG
Molecule: ribosomal RNA, 494 nt
Filed under: uncultured bacterium
Lineage: Bacteria
Description: partial 16S ribosomal RNA
Rfam family: Bacterial small subunit ribosomal RNA
Source: RNAcentral